RNAcentral lists this ribosomal RNA (468 nucleotides) under uncultured bacterium. Its description in RNAcentral is "bacterial SSU rRNA". It matches the Rfam family "Bacterial small subunit ribosomal RNA", at positions 337 to 797 of the family's 1533-position model. The record is from RNAcentral.
GCCUACGGGGCGCAGCAGUGGGGGAUUUUGGACAAUGGGCGAAAGCCUGAUCCAGCAAUGCCGCGUGAGUGAAGAAGGCCUUCGGGUUGUAAAGCUCUUUUGUCAGGGAAGAAACGGUGGUUUCUAAUACAGAUCGCUAAUGACGGUACCUGAAGAAUAAGCACCGGCUAACUACGUGCCAGCAGCCGCGGUAAUACGUAGGGUGCAAGCGUUAAUCGGAAUUACUGGGCGUAAAGCGUGCGCAGGCGGUUUCGUAAGUCUGUCGUGAAAUCCCCGGGCUCAACCUGGGAAUUGCGAUGGAGACUGCAAGGCUAGAAUCUGGCAGAGGGGGGUAGAAUUCCACGUGUAGCAGUGAAAUGCGUAGAGAUGUGGAGGAACACCGAUGGCGAAGGCAGCCCCCUGGGUCAAGAUUGACGCUCAUGCACGAAAGCGUGGGGAGCAAACAGGAUUAGAUACCCCAGUAGUCCC